AACGUAGGACGCGAGCGUUAUCCGGAUUUACUGGGCGUAAAGCGCGUGCAGGCGGCUCGUUAAGUCGUGCGUGAAAGCUCCCUGGCUCAACCGGGAGAGGUCGUACGAAACUAGCGGGCUAGAGGACAGUAGAGGCGUGUGGAAUUCCGGGUGUAGUGGUGAAAUGCGUAGAUAUCCGGAGGAACACCAGUGGCGAAGGCGACACGCUGGGCUGUACCUGACGCUAAGACGCGAAAGCAUGGGUA
RNAcentral lists this ribosomal RNA (245 nucleotides) under uncultured Anaerolineaceae bacterium. RNAcentral's name for it is "partial 16S ribosomal RNA". It matches the Rfam family "Bacterial small subunit ribosomal RNA", at positions 524 to 767 of the family's 1533-position model. Lineage: Bacteria; Bacillati; Chloroflexota; Anaerolineae; Anaerolineales; Anaerolineaceae. The record is from RNAcentral.